Molecule: non-coding RNA, 95 nt
Organism: Obba rivulosa
Lineage: Eukaryota; Fungi; Basidiomycota; Agaricomycetes; Polyporales; Gelatoporiaceae
Source: the annotation of a GenBank genome assembly
UCCCGUUUAGCUCAGUUGGUAGAGCGCGUCACUAGUAUUGUAGCACGCAGUGAUUACUUAUGACGAGGUCAGUCGUUCGAGUCGGCUAAUGGGAA